CACGCCGGCCAUAGUUGGCGGGUUCCACCCGUUCCCAUACCGAACACGGAAGUUAAACCGCCAAACGUCUGCGGUUGUACUAGGCUCCGAGAGGGCCUGGGAAGCCGCAGAAGCUGGCGGCC
RNAcentral lists this ribosomal RNA (122 nucleotides) under Thermoproteota archaeon. Lineage: Archaea; Thermoproteati; Thermoproteota. RNAcentral also lists the same sequence under 2 other names. The record is from RNAcentral.